RNAcentral lists this microRNA precursor (71 nucleotides) under Paramuricea clavata. The record is from RNAcentral. Lineage: Eukaryota; Metazoa; Cnidaria; Anthozoa; Malacalcyonacea; Plexauridae.
UUUGUAUUACGUGCGGAAAUUGUUACCAUUUUUGAGUCGCAAAUGGUAACAAUUUGCGCACGUAAUACAAA